This 449-nucleotide ribosomal RNA is filed under the name uncultured bacterium. Its description in RNAcentral is "partial 16S ribosomal RNA". It matches the Rfam family "Bacterial small subunit ribosomal RNA", at positions 29 to 523 of the family's 1533-position model. The record is from RNAcentral.
AACGAACGCUGGCGGCAUGCCUAACACAUGCAAGUCGAACGAGACCUUCGGGUCUAGUGGCGCACGGGUGCGUAACGCGUGGGAAUCUGCCCUUGGGUUCGGAAUAACUCAGAGAAAUUUGAGCUAAUACCGGAUGAUGACGUAAGUCCAAAGAUUUAUCGCCCAGGGAUGAGCCCGCGUAAGAUUAGCUUGUUGGUGGGGUAAUGGCCUACCAAGGCGACGAUCUUUAGCUGGUCUGAGAGGAUGAUCAGCCACACUGGGACUGAGACACGGCCCAGACUCCUACGGGAGGCAGCAGUGGGGAAUAUUGGACAAUGGGCGAAAGCCUGAUCCAGCAAUGCCGCGUGAGUGAUGAAGGCCUUAGGGUUGUAAAGCUCUUUUACCAGGGAUGAUAAUGACAGUACCUGGAGAAUAAGCUCCGGCUAACUCCGUGCCAGCCGCCGCUGUAA